GGGGCGUUUGUUUGCCCUCACUAAGUGGGACUGGACUAGACUGGAUUAGAUGUUAGUGUAAUCCCAUGUUUGUUAGAGGAAGGGACUAGCUUUAGUGGGAUUAAACCUCACUCGCCUUGACUACGGGGCUCGCUAGAUAGUCUUAGCGAAACCCCCCAAAUACCACCGGAUUGCUAAGACCAUUCUUUUCUCUCGCGUUGCUCCACUCGAUUCCUCGCUCUGCUCGACUCCUUAUCCUGCUUGACAACCUUGCCGGACCAUCUCAGGACCACCGCCGCGUCUUCGUAAAUCACGGCUUCUUCUGCCACUUUCUCUUCUUAGUUUUCUUCAGUUUUGUUUUGAAGAUUCGUUAAAUUAUUACUGGGUUUUGAUAGAUUUUUGUUUUUGAUCGAUUUGUGGGUUUGAUUGAUUUCUCAGAUUUGAUUGGUUUCUGGGUUUUGAUUGCUACCCAUUUGUUUUCAAUUUAUCUGCUAUUUUUCCUUUUAUGAAUUGAUUGAUAAGUUUUUGAAAGUUGAAGUGAUUUUUUUCCUCAUUCCCUGUUUUCGUUUUGCUAGAAAUUUGAUGUUAUCAUAUUUUGGUUUAAUCUUUAUCCAAAACUCCCCGAUUUUCUUACAGUUCCACUACGAGAUCUUGAGAAAGCCAUGCCCAUUGCAGCAAGUGUGCAGGGUCUGGGUGUUCAUCUCAGAACUGCAAAAGCCACUAAAUCUGCAGCUCUCUCUCAACUGGCAGACAAGGAAACAAAUAUGAGGACCACAAAAAGUCGCCAUGAGAUUUCCAGGAGAUAUUACUGCACUCUUUUAGGAUGCGAGAAAAGGGCUGGCAGACUAUCAAAAAAGCUGGAGUUUAUGCCUUUUUGGAACAACUUGCUCAGUUCUAUGAAAUCAUUGUUUAUUCAGACUACUCAUAUAUGCAUGUAGAUCCUGUAAUGCCUGUAAUGGAGAGAUUGGACACUAAGCAUUGUGUAACAUAUAAGCUGGGAAAGGCUGCCACUAUGUAUCAGAUUGCAGAAGAGACCUAUACCACCCAGACUGCUGCAUUGGAAACUGCUAUGUCUACACCUGUCUUUGUUCAAGGAUCUCUGAAUUCUGUGUGCAAUCGGUAUCAACUGCUCAUAUGGGUGGUAGUGUAUACUGCUAAUGAGGAUUUGGAGUCCAUAACCGACACACAAACUGAAUUACAGCUGAUGGAGUUAGAUGCUCACAAUUUUGUCAAAUUCAAAGUGCAGAACAGUCACUACCCCAAUAGACCAUUGCAGAAAGAAAGCAAGUUCUUUUUUUAACCUUGAGGACAAGGUUGUUCUUUAAGGGGGGAAUAAUGAUAUGAUCUGUAAUUAGUGAUUAGUGAUUAGCUUAAUCACUAUUAAGGGUUUUAAUCUUGGGAUUAUUAGGCUUAUUCUUGUUUUAGUGAAGUUUGUUAUAAUUAGCCAGCUGGCAUGAUGAGUUGACUUGAAUAAGAGCACUAGCUCUCACUAUUGUAAUCAGAUCAGAAUUUACAAACACAAAAAUAUAUUGGAGCUCUGCUCCCUUCUACUUCAUCU
Malus domestica (apple) is the source of this 1537-nucleotide RNA transcript. RefSeq lists it as uncharacterized. The record is from RefSeq and is a predicted model, not a curated record. NCBI's taxonomy places the organism in Eukaryota, Viridiplantae, Streptophyta, Magnoliopsida, Rosales, Rosaceae.